RNAcentral lists this ribosomal RNA (254 nucleotides) under uncultured bacterium. RNAcentral's name for it is "partial 16S ribosomal RNA". It matches the Rfam family "Bacterial small subunit ribosomal RNA", at positions 524 to 776 of the family's 1533-position model. The record is from RNAcentral.
UACGGAGGGUGCAAGCGUUAUCCGGAUUCACUGGGUUUAAAGGGUGCGUAGGUGGGUUGGUAAGUCAGUGGUGAAAUCUCCGUGCUUAACAUGGAAAUUGCCAUUGAUACUACUGGUCUUGAAUUUUCUGGAGGUAAGCGGAAUGUGUCAUGUAGCGGUGAAAUGCUUAGAUAUGACAUAGAACACCGAUUGCGAAGGCAGCUUACUACAGGGACAUUGACACUGAGGCACGAAAGCGUGGGGGAUCAAACAGG